AGUCAACUUGGAAUCGAUCACUCCUAGUAAGAGGAGAUCGCAUCCUGUGUAUUCUUAAUCCAAGAUGACUUGAGAAAAGACUUUUGGCCAAAAGCAGAAAAGAGAUUAGAAAAAGUUUCUAAUACUUCUUCAUUGGAGUCAUCAUUGGUUAAUUGAGAAUCGAUAUGAAUAUAUAUUUGAGUUUGACAUAAGUUCAUACUCAUGAACAUAUUCAGGAUGUAGGG
RNAcentral lists this long non-coding RNA (224 nucleotides) under Elaeis guineensis (African oil palm). Its description in RNAcentral is "long non-coding RNA (EGUI_LNC046849)". Lineage: Eukaryota; Viridiplantae; Streptophyta; Magnoliopsida; Arecales; Arecaceae. The record is from RNAcentral.